This 89-nucleotide transfer RNA is filed under the name Comamonas sp. RNAcentral's name for it is "tRNA-Leu". It matches the Rfam family "tRNA". From Rfam's summary of the family: Transfer RNA (tRNA) molecules are approximately 80 nucleotides in length. Their secondary structure includes four short double-helical elements and three loops (D, anti-codon, and T loops). RNAcentral also lists the same sequence under 1 other name. The record is from RNAcentral. Lineage: Bacteria; Pseudomonadati; Pseudomonadota; Betaproteobacteria; Burkholderiales; Comamonadaceae.
GCCCCGAUGGUGAAAUUGGUAGACACUGCAGACUUAAAAUCUGCCGCUCUUUACGGAGCGUACCGGUUCGAUUCCGGUUCGGGGCACCA